Molecule: ribosomal RNA, 253 nt
Filed under: uncultured bacterium
Lineage: Bacteria
Description: partial 16S ribosomal RNA
Rfam family: Bacterial small subunit ribosomal RNA
Source: RNAcentral
UACGAAGGACCCGAGCGUUAUCCGGAUUUACUGGGUUUAAAGGGUGCGUAGGUGGACCCAUAAGUCAGUGGUGAAAGCCCCCCGCUUAACGGGGGAACUGCCAUUGAUACUGUGGGUCUUGAGUAUAGUUGAGGUAGGCGGAAUAUGUCAUGUAGUGGUGAAAUACUUAGAUAUGACAUAGAACACCGAUUGCGAAGGCAGCUUGCUAAGCUAUAACUGAAACUGAUGCACGAAAGCGUGGGGAGCAAACAGG